UACGUAGGGGCUAGCGUUAUCCGGAAUUACUGGGCGUAAAGGGUGCGUAGGUGGUUUCUUAAGUCAGAGGUGAAAGGCUACGGUUCAACCGUAGUAAGCCUUUGAAACUGGGAAACUUGAGUGCAGGAGAGGAGAGUGGAAUUCCUAGUGUAGCGGUGAAAUGCGUAGAUAUUAGGAGGAACACCAGUUGCGAAGGCGGCUCUCUGGACUGUAACUGACACUGAGGCACGAAAGCGUGGGGAGCAAACAGGAUUAGAUACCCGCGUAGUCCUUGAGCGGG
This 280-nucleotide ribosomal RNA is filed under the name uncultured prokaryote. RNAcentral's name for it is "partial 16S ribosomal RNA". It matches the Rfam family "Bacterial small subunit ribosomal RNA", at positions 524 to 803 of the family's 1533-position model. The record is from RNAcentral.